CAUGCAAGUCGAGGGGAAACGACAUCGAAAGCUUGCUUUUGAUGGGCGUCGACCGGCGCACGGGUGAGUAACGCGUAUCCAACCUGCCCAUCACUUGGGGAUAACCUUGCGAAAGUAAGACUAAUACCCAAUGAUAUCUCUAGAAGGCAUCUGAAAGAGAUUAAAGAUUUAUCGGUGAUGGAUGGGGAUGCGUCUGAUUAGCUUGUUGGCGGGGUAACGGCCCACCAAAGCAACGAUCAGUAGGGGUUCUGAGAGGAAGGUCCCCCACAUUGGAACUGAGACACGGUCCAAACUCCUACGGGAGGCAGCAGUGAGGAAUAUUGGUCAAUGGACGAGAGUCUGAACCAGCCAAGUAGCGUGCAGGAUGACGGCCCUAUGGGUUGUAAACUGCUUUUAUAAGGGAAUAAAGUGAGUCUCGUGAGACUUUUUGCAUGUACCUUAUGAAUAAGGAUCGGCUAAUUCCGUGCCAGCAGCCGCGGUAAUACGGAAGGUCCGGGCGUUAUCCGGAUUUAUUGGGUUUAAAGGGAGCGUAGGCCGGAGAUUAAGCGUGUUGUGAAAUGUAGAUGCUCAACAUCUGCACUGCAGCGCGAACUGGUCUCCUUGAGUACGCACAAAGUGGGCGGAAUUCGUGGUGUAGCGGUGAAAUGCUUAGAUAUCACGAAGAACUCCGAUUGCGAAGGCAGCUCACUGGAGCGCAACUGACGCUGAAGCUCGAAAGUGCGGGUAUCGAACAGGAUUAGAUACCCUGGUAGUCCGCACGGUAAACGAUGGAUGCCCGCUGUUGGUCUGAAUAGGUCAGCGGCCAAGCGAAAGCAUUAAGCAUCCCACCUGGGGAGUACGCCGGCAACGGUGAAACUCAAAGGAAUUGACGGGGGCCCGCACAAGCGGA
This 889-nucleotide ribosomal RNA is filed under the name uncultured bacterium. RNAcentral describes it as "bacterial SSU rRNA". It matches the Rfam family "Bacterial small subunit ribosomal RNA", at positions 54 to 933 of the family's 1533-position model. The record is from RNAcentral.